GACGGAGGAUGCGAGCGUUAAUCGGAAUUACUGGGCGUAAAGCGCACGCAGGCGGUUUGUUAAGCUAGAUGUGAAAGCCCCGGGCUCAACCUGGGAUGGUCAUUUAGAACUGGCAGACUAGAGUCUUGGAGAGGGGAGUGGAAUUCCAGGUGUAGCGGUGAAAUGCGUAGAUAUCCGGAGGAACAUCAGUGGCGAAGGCGACUCCCUGUCCAAAGACUGACGCUCAUGUGCGAAAGUGUGGGUAGCGAACAGG
This 253-nucleotide ribosomal RNA is filed under the name uncultured bacterium. RNAcentral describes it as "partial 16S ribosomal RNA". It matches the Rfam family "Bacterial small subunit ribosomal RNA", at positions 524 to 776 of the family's 1533-position model. The record is from RNAcentral.